This 280-nucleotide ribosomal RNA is filed under the name uncultured bacterium. Its description in RNAcentral is "partial 16S ribosomal RNA". It matches the Rfam family "Bacterial small subunit ribosomal RNA", at positions 78 to 353 of the family's 1533-position model. The record is from RNAcentral.
GCUUGCUUUCUUUGCUGGCGACCGGCGCACGGGUGAGUAACACGUAUCCAACCUACCCUUUACUCGGGGAUAGCCUUUCGAAAGAAAGAUUAAUACCCGAUAGCAUAAUGAUUCCGCAUGGUUUCAUUAUUAAAGGAUUCCGGUAAAGGAUGGGGAUGCGUUCCAUUAGGUUGUUGGUGGGGUAACGGACCACCAAGCCUUCGAUGGAUAGGGGUUCUGAGAGGAAGGUCCCCCACAUUGGAACUGAGACACGGUCCAAACUCCUACGGGAGGCAGCAUG